AAUGCACCAAUUUGUAAGUCGCUCCGGAUAAGAGCGUCUGCUAAAUGACGUAAA
This is a non-coding RNA of Salmo salar (Atlantic salmon), 54 nucleotides long. The record is from Rfam. Lineage: Eukaryota; Metazoa; Chordata; Actinopteri; Salmoniformes; Salmonidae.